GAAAGUAAGGAAGGGCGCACGGAGGAUGCCUAGGCUCUUUCAGGCGAAGAAGGACGUGACAAGCUGCGAUAAGCUUCGGGGACCAGCACAUAUGGCGUGAUCCGAAGAUUUCCGAAUGGGGCAACCCGGCUGGUUGAAGACCAGUCACUCUACGGAGGGCAAACCCGCUGAACUGAAACAUCUAAGUAAGCGGAGGAAGAGAAAACAAUAGUGAUUUCGUGAGUAGUGGCGAGCGAAAGCGAAAGAGCCCAAACCAUACUUGUUACGGCAAGUAUGGGGUUGUAGGACUGACAUAAUUGGUUAGGAGUGAAGUGGAACGAUUUGGGAAAGUCGAUCAGAGAGGGUGAGAAUCCCGUACACGUAAGCGAUUGACCAAGGACAGGAUCCUGAGUACCGCGAGGUCGGAGACGCCUUGUGGGAAACAGCCAGCACCAUCUGGCAAGGCUAAAUACUAGAAAGAGACCGAUAGUGAACAAGUACCGUGAGGGAAAGGUGAAAAGAACCCCGAACAGGGGAGUGAAAAGAACCUGAAACCGUGCGCUUACAAGCGGUCGGAGCAGACAAGUUCUGUGACGGCGUGCCUUUUGCAUAAUGAGCCUACGAGUUACUACUCACUGGCAAGGUUAAGGGUUUUAGUCCCGGAGCCGAAGCGAAAGCGAGUCUGAACAGGGCGUAUAGUCAGUGGGUGUAGACGCGAAACUUUGUGAUCUACCCAUGAUCAGGUUGAAGGGCCGGUAACACGGUCUGGAGGACCGAACCAGUAAACGUUGAAAAGUUUUUGGAUGAAUUGUGGGUAGGGGUGAAAGGCCAAUCAAACUGAGAAAUAGCUCGUACUCCCCGAAAUGUUUUUAGGAACAGCCUGGCGGUAGAGUUUAACAGAGGUAGAGCUACUAAUUGGACGCGGGGGAGUCAAAUCCUACCAAAUCCAGAUAAACUCCGAAUGCUGUUAAAUAUACGCUGGAGUGAGGCCUGGGGUGCUAAGGUCCCGGGCCGAGAGGGAAAGAACCCAGACCAACAGCUAAGGUCCCUAAGUAAUUACUAAGUUGAACUAACGAGGUCCGGUUGCAUAGACAGCUAGGAUGUUGGCUUGGAAGCAGCCAUUCAUUUAAAGAGUGCGUAACAGCUCACUAGUCGAGCGAUCGGGCAUGGAUAAUAAACGGGCAUCAAGUAGUUCACCGAAGCUUUGGACAAGUAAUUGUGGUAGGGGAGCAUUCUGGCGGCAGUGAAGGUAUAACUGUAAGGUAUGCUGGAGCUUCCAGAAAAGCAAAUGUAGGCAUAAGUAACGAUAAGACGGGCGAGAAACCCGUCCACCGAAAGACUAAGGUUUCCUGAUCAACGUUAAUCGGAUCAGGGUUAGUCGGGGCCUAAGGUGUAGCCGAAGGGCGUAGCCGAUGGAUAAUUGGUUAAUAUUCCAAUACUUUUUAAUAGUGUGAUGGGGAGACGGAGUAGUGACACGCACGCCUGCUGACGGAAUAGCAGGUUAAAGCCAGUAGAUAAAGGACAUACAGGAAAAUCCGUAAGUCUUGUCGAAGGUGAGAGUACUGCAAGGCUUCGGCUGCGUAGAUAGUUGCGGUAAACAGACUUCCAAGAAAAUCCUCUAAACUUCAGUUAUUAAAAACCCGUACCGAUAACCGACACAGGUAGUCAAGGAGAGAAUCCUAAGGUGCUCGAGUGAAUCAUGGCUAAGGAACUCGGCAAAAUGGCCCUGUAACUUCGGGAGAAGGGGCGCCUCCGCAAGGAGGCCGCAGUGAAGAGGCCCAGGCGACUGUUUAACAAAAACACAUGGCUUUGCAAAAUCGAAAGAUGAAGUAUAAGGCCUGACACCUGCCCGGUGCUGGAAGGUUAAGAGGGGAUGUUAGGGUUAAACCGAAGCAUUGAAUCGAAGCCCCAGUAAACGGCGGCCGUAACUAUAACGGUCCUAAGGUAGCGAAAUUCCUUGUCGGGUAAGUUCCGACCUGCACGAAUGGUGUAACGAUCUGGGCGCUGUCUCAGCCAUGAGCUCGGUGAAAUUGUGGUAUCGGUGAAGACGCCGGUUACCCGCAACGGGACGGAAAGACCCCAUGCACCUUCACUACAACUUAACAUUGACAUUGGGUACAGGAUGUGUAGGAUAGGUGGGAGACUGUGAAGGGGCGUCGCUAGGCGCUUUGGAGUCAACGUUGAAAUACCACCCUUUCUGUGCUCGAUGUCUAAUCUGGCUGAUGUCGGAGACAUUGUUUGGUGGGUAGUUUGACUGGGGUGGUCGCCUCCAAAAGUGUAACGGAGGCUUUCAAAGGUAUGCUCAGUACGCUUGGUAACCGUACGAGGAGUGCAAUAGCAUAAGCAUGCUUGACUGUGAGGCUGACUAGCCGAGCAGGAAGGAAACUUGGAUAUAGUGAUCCGGUGGUUCUGAAUGGAAGGGCCAUCGCUCAAAGGAUAAAAGGUACGCUGGGGAUAACAGGCUGAUCUCCCCCAAGAGCUCAUAUCGACGGGGAGGUUUGGCACCUCGAUGUCGGUUCGUCACAUCCUGGGGCUGGAGAAGGUCCCAAGGGUUCGGCUGUUCGCCGAUUAAAGUGGCACGCGAGCUGGGUUCAGAACGUCGCGAGACAGUUCGGUCCCUAUCUGUUGUGGGCGUAAGAAGCUUGAGUGGGGCUGACCUUAGUACGAGAGGACCGGGUUGGACAAACCGCUAGUGAAUCUGUUAUGGCGCCAGCUGUACUGCAGAGUAGCUACGUUUGGAAGAGAUAAGCGCUGAAAGCAUCUAAGUGCGAAACUCGCCACGAGAUGAGGCUUCUAUGAGGAUCCUAACAGACUAUUAGGUUGAUAGGCUACAGGUGUAAAGGUGGUAACAUCAUAGCCGAGUAGUACUAAUUAUCCGAAACUUUCACUC
Molecule: ribosomal RNA, 2869 nt
Filed under: metagenomes
Description: bacterial LSU rRNA
Rfam family: Bacterial large subunit ribosomal RNA
Source: RNAcentral